This 253-nucleotide ribosomal RNA is filed under the name uncultured bacterium. Its description in RNAcentral is "partial 16S ribosomal RNA". It matches the Rfam family "Bacterial small subunit ribosomal RNA", at positions 524 to 776 of the family's 1533-position model. The record is from RNAcentral.
UACAGAGGGUGCAAACGUUGCUCGGAAUUAUUGGGCGUAAAGCGCAUGUAGGCGGUCUGUUAAGUCGGUUGUGAAAGCCCAUGGCUCAACCAUGGAAGUGCGACUGAAACUGGCAGACUGGAGUCCUGGAGAGGGUGGCGGAAUUCCCAGUGUAGAGGUGAAAUUCGUAGAUAUUGGGAGGAACACCGGUGGCGAAGGCGGCCACCUGGACAGGUACUGACGCUGAGAUGCGAAAGCGUGGGGAGCAAACAGG